Varroa destructor (honeybee mite) is the source of this 3787-nucleotide long non-coding RNA. RefSeq lists it as uncharacterized. Lineage: Eukaryota; Metazoa; Arthropoda; Arachnida; Mesostigmata; Varroidae. The record is from RefSeq and is a predicted model, not a curated record.
UUUCCGUCAGCGCUAGAGAGGCAAUCGGGUGUCUCGCAAAACAGCUACCCCAUGUUGUCUUACUGCUGUCACUUUUACUUGGGGUGCUUAUCUCUGUCUGUCUGUUUGUAGUCAGUUUUGAGGGUUCCUCCUGUUUUUGCGCAAAGGCGUGAAAGAAAGGAACGACUAGAGUCCCUCCUAUUUUCCAUAACUUAAUCGACGCUUUCCAUGGCGUCAACGUCGUUGCUUGUUUUUCGACAAAUAUUGAGCCCAAUCCGUCCUAGCCGUUCGCUGACGGCAAAGGAUUUUGGUGUCACCCAAAGCAUAGCUGGGUUCCACACGGCCCUAGCUCUUCAGAUUUGCCGUGGCUCGCAGACACUCGCGGCACUCCGCGGUGCUGGCUAGCUAACGGAAGCAAUUCUCAAACCUUGCCUGCCGUACCCAUUUCCCCCGUAUCCCCGCCGACAGCCCUGAAGCUCUUUGACCAUCCUAACCCUCCUUACUCUGAAAGCCCUCAAGACUUUCUUGACUUUCAUUUUACUGGCUCUCUCACUUUUGUCACCCGUUCUCGCCCUCAUCUUAGCCGCUGCCUGUCCCCUCUCCGCCUUGCCUUCAUCCAGCAACCCUUCAAAGAUAAAGAGAGCUUUAAGGUGAGAGUACGUAGAAAAGGCAACGUGAUGCAUUCAACAAAAAAGACCGACUCACAUAGCAAGGCAAUGUGAGUGAUAGCUGCGACAAGGAGGAAGUUACUACUGAGCCUCAAAACUGAAACGACCUUCUUGCGUCAGUAACCGCCGGCCCCGCUUCAGGGACCACUACCGAUAGUGGUGGUUAUGCGCUAGGUCCACUGACCCCAGCUAGUUCCCUUGACAGUGGUUUGCCUCCUUCGUGAGUAGGGAGUCCCAUUUCGCCCUCAACUUCUCCCUAACCCUCUUUUUCUCCUCUUACUUGGGGUUGCCGCGCUAAUCAUCAGCAGUCUCAUCAUUCUUUCACUCUGUUCCUUCGUUCUGCUGGGCAAGAGCCCUUCGUUUCGUUUUGCAAAAGCCGACGUGAAGCAAGCAAACGGGCGGGCCGAUGAGCUUUGCCGAUCCCUCGCUUUCAUUGCUUUCGUGCUGUUUCUCUCUUCGGUGCCCUUCUAACUUUCUAGUGAACCGUGGUUUGGAUUUGCAAAAGUAAGGAGCCCUAUAUAACUCCGCAUGUGCGUUAGGAUGAUUAAUUCUUGCAGUCCUGACGGAGCAAAUGCUGCCGACAAGCUUCUCUGCAGCAGCUUAUCAGGGGGCCAUCCUUUCUUUCUGCCGAUUCCGUGUGAUUCGGUGUGGGCGCCUGUGAUCUGUGGUUUGCCCAUAUAUGUACGACGGAAGACACACGCUGAGGACCUGCUUCCGUUUGCUAAGAAGUCCGUUGUCACUAGAGUUCGUCGAGUCCCAAUGGAAUUGCAAUGAAUCGCAGCUUUAGAUGGGUGUGUAUGUUUGUGGCUGGAUGACUCUCUUACUAAGUGUGCGUAACGUCGCAGUAUUACAAUGGCAAACAGGAAAGUUGCUACUCCGGCCCCUUUUACUUUGCACCUAUUGCCAGCGAAAAUCAGCGUUGGACUAACCCCCCAGUCGAGGGGUGACGACAAGUGAAUCAGAAGACGCCAUCACACAGAUAGACCACUUCGGACUCCUUUCUUCCUGUCAGAGCGCGCUAUCCAUACAAAGGUCAAUUGCAUGGAGAGAAUGAACACGAUAGGAUCUCUACGUGACUAAUGGUCUCUUCCUGUGUUAAUAUUAUAGUAGGGCCUACUGCUGAAACCCCCUAGCGUCGCAGUUGCUGCGACUGUGAGGACUACUGAGAGUGGUUUGUUACUGAGAGCCGUUCUAACGCAGAAAUAAACGGAAGCCUGCCCACUAAAGGGGGUACAAGUACGGAACGAUGGGGUGAAACCGGAUGUGAUAAUGGCAGUAGUGUUAGAGCUGCAAAUGUCAAAAUCGAGUGACGCCCUGGUACCGCCGCAAACUAUCCCACGCGCUGACCGGCUGACUCGAGGGAAGAAAGAAUUCGUUGUUAACUGAGACAAUGAUUCAACAGGACCAAGGAUCUGCUCGUUGUGUCCAUUACUUCUGUGAUAUACAGACGGUGCCAUUAUCACGAACGUCCGCUACCUUUUGCAUCUUCUCUACGCAUAGCUAUCACAAGCCAUCCAACUUCUCAGAACAUGUUUCUCACGUCAGAACAGCAUUUGCUCCAACCCCGCAGCCUGCUGACGCUAUUUCGAAAACCAGUUCCUGCGGCUGCUAUGAAGUUAGUGGUUUCCCCGUCGCUCGCUCGCUCCUCGUUGCUUCGCAACGGCCUUCACCUUGGGGCGAACCACAUCCUCAUUGGAUGAGGCUCGAAGCCCAAAGAAUUGAUUUCCCACGUGAGAACAAACCAUUGCGCUUCAACCGCUAACGCUGUGGGAGCCUUCACUGCAUUCCGUAGGUCGAUAACAGCUUCUCUGGUGACCUGACCAACUUGGCGAGCACAUUCCUCGUUUGACCGUGUCCUGCUGUUUCAUUAACCCGCAGUGCCCACUUUUGGCCGCAUGCCAUCAUUGCUUCAAAUAUCGCCACUUCCAAUGGCUCAGAGGAAACACACGCUGGAAAUAACUGCUGUACUAGAAAAAUGUUUUACGGGGAAAUAGUGUAUAUAGGAAAAACCAGUUCGAAAAGAGCGCCUAAGAUCAAAAAGAGAUGUGUGGAGUUAUAUUAGGUUAGGUAAUCUGGUGACGAAUAUCACUAUAUAUAUAUAUAUAUAUAUAUAGAAGCGCUGAGAGGUGCAGCACUGUGCUAUAAAAUCUUUAGUUCGUGUUUUUCUAUCGGUAGCUUAAAAUGACGAUAUUCGGGAAAAUUGUGGACCUCGAUAGAGUAGCGAUGUAGAGGCGGUAAGACGCGCGAAGGGGAAUAACAGCCCAGGUGUCCCAGUUUCCGACGUUUCAGAUUUUUGGGCGAAGAAUUGGACCAAGCAAUUUUUGCAUCUCUUCAUGGAAGUCACAUAACACCACUAGGGCGGUCCUGCAAAGACCGAAACAGGCUGUAGGUGGCGGUGUUGCUAAUGGGCGUAACAGACGCCGAUGGCGACAGCAAAGAAAAGUCGCGGCCGUAAAUUAUAAUGCACGAGGGACCGCUUACGAAUCGGAAGUCGUUACUUCAGGAAGACUGCACAACCUGACCGGAUAGGCCGUCAGCCCGAACUCAGCGUAUCAUAUACAAGGGCGUCUACGUACGUUUCUACGUACUUGUUGGAACAAUGCUCGUACUGUGCCGAGCAGCAUAGCUUUCCUCAAUAUACACCGAUACAUAUGAAAUAGCUAAGACGUGAACAAAAUAAAUGUUCUGUUCGUGUUACGGGUAUCAUGUAAUGGUUCGCGGCCUCGCACAUAUCAACCCAACAAAGCUGAUAGUUAAAGAGAUACGAAGGCAUAUGCAUUAACAUUUAUAAUCAAAUACGGAGAAAGAUAGAAAAAAAAACACGGAUAUCAAUGAAAAAAGCUCUGUUCUAGAAGUGUCAUUACUGACAUAUCCUUAGAUGAAACGACUAACUCGACGGCGACAGAUGGAAAAAUACCGAGUCGUAAGGCUUUUAGUUGCUAUGUAAUCUGUUUGUUUCAAGUAAAUCGCAUACAUCAUAAAGAAAAAAAAAAAAGUAAAAAUGAUGGGUGUGUUUACGGUGAGCUAAGGAAAUGCAAGAUUGACCUAAUAUUUGUUCCAAGUAGCCAGCCUUGAAUAAGACGUGUGUAAAGAUGCCCCAGAAUUAAGCAUAGGUUUCCUCCACAGGGCACAAAUCUGCA